ACUUGAGAUGCUCUUACCUCAGCCUCCCGAGUACUGGGAUUACAAGCAUAACUCAGCACACCUGGCCUGGCUAUUUGAUAAUGACUUGUAAGAACUUUUUGUAUAUUUUAGAAAUUGGCUCUUUGUGAUAGAGUUGAAUAUAUUCCCUUUCUUCCUUCUGGUUUAUCAUUUGACUUUUGGUUUUCCUUUUGUGGUUUUUGCUACAUAGAAUUUUUUUAUCUUUAUAUGAUUGGAUUUCUUAAUUUGUGUUUCCUUUUUCAAUGAAUAACAUUAAAAUCUGGCAUUCAGUGGAACCACCAUUUGACCCAGCUAUUCCCCUUCUUAGACUAUACCCAAAAGACCUAAAAAGAGCAUACUACAGGGACACAGCCACAUCAAUGUUUAUAGCAGCACAAUUCACAAUAGCUAGAAUGUGGAACCAACCUAGAUGCCCUUCAAUAGAUGAAUGGAUUUUAAAAAGUGGCAUUUAUACACAAUGGAAUAUUACUCAGCACUAAAAAAUACAAGAUCAUGGCAUUUGCAGGCAAAUGGAUGGCAUUAGAGCAGAUUAUGCUAAAUGACAUUAGCCAAUCCCUAAAAAACAAAUGCUGAAUGUCUUCUCUGAUAUAAAGGGGGUGACUCAAAAUGGGAUAGGGAGGAAGAGCAUGAGAAGAAGACUACCACU
This 664-nucleotide long non-coding RNA is filed under the name Marmota monax (woodchuck). The record is from RNAcentral. Lineage: Eukaryota; Metazoa; Chordata; Mammalia; Rodentia; Sciuridae.